RNAcentral lists this small RNA (585 nucleotides) under Pongo abelii (Sumatran orangutan). RNAcentral's name for it is "processed transcript". The record is from RNAcentral. Lineage: Eukaryota; Metazoa; Chordata; Mammalia; Primates; Hominidae.
GUGCAGUGCUACCUCCACGGUCAAGCCCUCGGCAGGGUCCUGCUGCCCACAGAACCGGGAGAGGCCUCCCUACCACCAGCGCUCUCUCGACGCAGGGAUUGCCCCCACCAAGCCCCAGAGCUGGGAGUGGGCAGGACGGGGCAGAGGUGACCACAGUGACAGUGGCCAACGUGGGGGCUGCUGCAGACAAUGUCUUCACCACGUCCGUGGCGAACGCAGCGUCCAUCUCAGGACAUGUUCUGUCUGGUAGGACGGCCCUUCAGAUCGGGGACAGCCUGAACACCGAAAAAGCCACACUGAUUGUCGUCCACACGGAUGGGAGCAUCGUGGAGACCACCGGGCUGAAGGGCCCGGCAGCUCCCCUCACCCCAGGUCCUCAGUCUCCUCCAACCCCUCUGGCUCCCGGCCAAGAAAAAGGUGGAACUAAAUACAACUGGGACCCUUCUGUGUACGACAGUGAGCUGCCCGUACGGUGCCGGAACAUCAGCGGUACUCUGUACAAGAACAGGCUCGGCUCAGGCGGCCGGGGACGGUGCAUCAAGCAGGGGGAGAACUGGUACAGUCCCACCGAGUUUGAGGCCAUGG